CAGCCGCCACGGGAAAACGGAGGGAGCUAGCGUUGUUCGGAAUUACUGGGCGUAAAGCGCACGUAGGCGGCUUUGUAAGUUAGAGGUGAAAGCCUGGAGCUCAACUCCAGAAUUGCCUUUAAGACUGCAUCGCUUGAAUCCAGGAGAGGUGAGUGGAACUCCGAGUGUAGAGGUGAAAUUCGUAGAUAUUCGGAAGAACACCAGUGGCGAAGGCGGCUCACUGGACUGGUAUUGACGCUGAGGUGCGAAAGCGUGGGGAGCAAACAGGAUUAGAUACCCCGGUAGUCCCUGUCUCUUAUAC
This 301-nucleotide ribosomal RNA is filed under the name uncultured bacterium. RNAcentral describes it as "partial 16S ribosomal RNA". It matches the Rfam family "Bacterial small subunit ribosomal RNA", at positions 509 to 807 of the family's 1533-position model. The record is from RNAcentral.